ACGGGUGAGUAACGCGUGGGAAUCUACCGUACCCUACGGAAUAGCUCUGGGAAACUGGAAGUAAUACCGUAUACGCCCUAACGGGGAAAGAUUUAUCGGGGUAUGAUGAGCCCGCGUUGGAUUAGCUAGUUGGUGGGGUAGAGGCCUACCAAGGCGACGAUCCAUAGCUGGUCUGAGAGGAUGAUCAGCCACAUUGGGACUGAGACACGGCCCAAACUCCUACGGGAGGCAGCAGUGGGGAAUAUUGGACAAUGGGGGCAACCCUGAUCCAGCCAUGCCGCGUGAGUGAUGAAGGUCUUAGGAUUGUAAAGCUCUUUCAACGGUGAAGAUAAUGACGGUAACCGUAGAAGAAGCCCCGGCUAACUUCGUGCCAGCAGCCGCGGUAAUACGAAGGGGGCUAGCGUUGUUCGGAAUUACUGGGCGUAAAGCGCACGUAGGCGGGUAUUUAAGUCAGGGGUGAAAUCCCGCAGCUCAACUGCGGAACUGCCUUUGAUACUGGGUAUCUUGAGUAUGGAAGAGGUAAGUGGAAUUGCGAGUGUAGAGGUGAAAUUCGUAGA
This 557-nucleotide ribosomal RNA is filed under the name uncultured bacterium. RNAcentral describes it as "bacterial SSU rRNA". It matches the Rfam family "Bacterial small subunit ribosomal RNA", at positions 102 to 694 of the family's 1533-position model. The record is from RNAcentral.